This is a non-coding RNA of Benincasa hispida (wax gourd), 1450 nucleotides long. NCBI's taxonomy places the organism in Eukaryota, Viridiplantae, Streptophyta, Magnoliopsida, Cucurbitales, Cucurbitaceae. The record is from RefSeq and is a predicted model, not a curated record.
AAGAGUCGAAUAAAUUUCUCAAGAACCCAAAAAUUUCUUAAGAAAUUUCACCCUGUGCUUCAAAUUUUUGUUCGAUUCUCAAAACCAAAUUCCAUUCCCCAACGCUGUUGAAGAUUGAAUUGGUUGGGAUACUGUGGACUGCGCUUCCCAUUCUUCUCCCCCAUAUCUCGCAGAUUCUUCGGCACUUCUCUUUACCGCUCUUCAAUGCUCCGCACAAAAUUCCACAACGCCAUUCCCUUUACUAAUUUACGCAAACCCAUUUUCCCCAAAUCCAAACCCAUUCAAUCAUUUCCUCUAACCCCACCAUUUUUCUCCUCGAUUUCUCAAAUGGGUGAUGCUCGAAGACCGCUCUCCCCCGCCAUUCCGCCGCUCGACAAAGCCGACCGAUUGGAAUUGCUUCGUUCCCUUGAAUCUUCGCUCAGUUCUUCGUUUAGCUCCGACCCGUUGGUGCCGAAUCCAAGCCCUUUAGUUAUUGUGAUCAGUGGCCCAAGUGGGGUGGGAAAGGACGCCGUGAUUAAACGAUUGAGAGAAGUCCGAGAAGGGCUCCAUUUCGUCGUCACAGCGACUAGCCGACCAAUGCGACAUGGUGAAGUGGAUGGAAAAGACUAUUAUUUUGUCUCUAAGGAAGAGUUUCUCGCCAUGAUCGAGAGGAACGAGCUACUGGAAUAUGCGUCAGUGUAUGGAGAUUACAAGGGGAUUCCCAAAAGGCAAAUUCGAGAGUUUAUGGCAAAAGGGUAUGAUAUUGUGUUGAGAGUUGACAUUCAAGGGGCUGAAACAUUGAGGAAGAUUCUUGGGAAUUCUGCUGUUUUUGUGUUUUUGAUGGCGGAGAGUGAGGUUAAACUAGUGGAAAGGUUGAUCGAUAGGAAGACGGAGACUAAAGAAUCAUUAUUGGUGAGAGUUGCAACGGCUAGAAAGGAAGUGCAGCAUGUCAAGAAUUUUGAUUAUGUGGUUGUGAAUGCAGAUGGGAAGUUGGACAGUGCGGUUAAGCUUGUGGAAUCCAUUAUUGAUGCCGAGAAGGCAAAGGUCUGGCAGAGAAAUGCUGUUGUUUAGAUUGAGAUUUUGAGACAUCAUUUUGAAAGGUGGAUUAGAUCAUCAUCACUUGAAGAGGGUGAAGGCUGACUUCAUGUGGUUACAACUACAUACGUCGGGCAUGCUCGUUACCGACAUUUGCAGUUUUAUUUUUCAUUCUAUUACCCAAACGUAGGUUGAACUCAAACCUUUGUGAAGUUCAAAAUUUGUUUUGGCAGUUGAACAAUAAACUCAGGCAACAUAGAGAAGACUCACUGCUCCAGGAAGUUUGGAAGUUGUUGGAUGUCCACUGCUGCCACUUAGCCAAGGCGAUCGCCAAACUUUCCCAUCUUCUAAACAGCUGCUUUAAGGUUGAUUAGUAUAAACAAACAUUGCCUCACAGAGAACAAAAGCUACGUUCUGCAAAGUUUUAAAUCUCAUC